AUGGAUCGAGCUCGGCGCCUUCUACCCCUUCUCCAUGGACCACGCCAACUUAGCUUCCGCAAGGCAGGAGCUCUACCAGAGGCAGUCUGUGGCGAGGUUGGCACGGAACGCGCUCGGCAUGCGCUACAGGAUGCUCCCGUACCUCUACAUGCUCAACUACCAGGCGCACCUCACCAGCGCGCCGGUGCGCGGCCGCUCUUCUUCUCGUUCCCGGACUUCGCGCCGUGCUACGGCGUGCCCAACCAGUUCCUGCUGGGCGCCGACGUCAUGGUGCCCCCCAUCCUCGAGCAGGGCGCCAGCUCCGUGAACGCCUUGUUCCCACCGGGCAUGUGGUACAACCUUUGCGACACGAGCAAGGCGGUGGUGUCCACGGGCUCCGGCGCAGCCGUCAGGCUCCCCGCGCAGCUGAACGAGGGCAACGUGCACGUGCACGAGGGCACGGUCCUGCCGCUGCAGCGCGGCGGCACCAUCUCCCGGGACGCGCGCGCGACGGCGUUCACGCUGGUGGUCGCGUUCCCGCUCGGCGCGGACAACACGGACGCGGAGGGCGCUGUGUACAUGGACGACGAUGAGCAGCCGGCCAUGGUGCUCGCCGAGGGGCAGGCGACUUAG
RNAcentral lists this ribosomal RNA (612 nucleotides) under Triticum aestivum (bread wheat). RNAcentral describes it as "partial small subunit ribosomal RNA". Lineage: Eukaryota; Viridiplantae; Streptophyta; Magnoliopsida; Poales; Poaceae. The record is from RNAcentral.